UCGGGAAUUUUGGGCAAUGGGCGAAAGCCUGACCCAGCAACGCCGCGUGAAGGAUGAAGUAUUUCGGUAUGUAAACUUCGAAAGAAUAGGAAGAAUAAAUGACGGUACUAUUUAUAAGGUCCGGCUAACUACGUGCCAGCAGCCGCGGUAAUACGUAGGGACCAAGCGUUGUUCGGAUUUACUGGGCGUAAAGGGCGCGUAGGCGGCGUGGUAAGUCAUCUGUGAAAUCUCCGAGCUUAACUCGGAACGGUCAGAUGAUACUGCUGUGCUAGAGUACAGAAAGGGCAAUCGGAAUUCUUGGUGUAGCGGUGAAAUGCGUAGAUAUCAAGAGGAACACCUGAGGCGAAGGCGGGUUGCUAGGCUGAUACUGACGCUGAGGCGCGAAAGCUAGGGGAGCAAACGGGAUUAGAUACCCGUGUAGUCCCUGAGCGGGCUGGCAAGGCGCAU
Molecule: ribosomal RNA, 447 nt
Filed under: uncultured bacterium
Lineage: Bacteria
Description: bacterial SSU rRNA
Rfam family: Bacterial small subunit ribosomal RNA
Source: RNAcentral